Molecule: ribosomal RNA, 389 nt
Filed under: uncultured bacterium
Lineage: Bacteria
Description: bacterial SSU rRNA
Rfam family: Bacterial small subunit ribosomal RNA
Source: RNAcentral
GACGAACGCUGGCGGCGUGCUUAACACAUGCAAGUCGAGCAGUAAGGCCCUUUCGGGGGUACACGAGCGGCGAACGGGUGAGUAACACGUGGGUGACCUGCCCUCAGCUCUGGGAUAAGCCUGGGAAACCGGGUCUAAUACUGGAUAUGACUCCAUGACGCAUGUUGUGGGGUGGAAAGCCUUGUGCGGCUGAGGAUGGGCCCGCGGCCUAUCAGCUUGUUGGUGGGGUGAUGGCCCACCAAGGCGACGACGGGUAGCCGGCCUGAGAGGGCGACCGGCCACACUGGGACUGAGACACGGCCCAGACUCCUACGGGAGGCAGCAGUGGGGAAUAUUGCGCAAUGGGCGAAAGCCUGACGCAGCGACGCCGCGUGAGGGACGAAGGCCUU